AUCCUACUCCCUCCGUCCGGAAAUACUUGUUGGAGGAAUGGAUGUAUUUAGACGUAUUUUAGUUCUAGAUACAUCCAUUUGUAUGCAUUUCUUCGACAAGAAUUUUGGGACGGAGGGAGUAUAUG
Molecule: non-coding RNA, 125 nt
Organism: Triticum aestivum (bread wheat)
Lineage: Eukaryota; Viridiplantae; Streptophyta; Magnoliopsida; Poales; Poaceae
Source: Rfam